Molecule: ribosomal RNA, 253 nt
Filed under: uncultured bacterium
Lineage: Bacteria
Description: partial 16S ribosomal RNA
Rfam family: Bacterial small subunit ribosomal RNA
Source: RNAcentral
UACGUAGGGGGCUAGCGUUGUCCGGAUUCAUUGGGCGUAAAGAGCGCGCAGGCGGCUUGGUAAGUCGGAUGUGAAAACCCGAGGCUCAACCUCGGACGUGCAUCCGAAACUGCCCGGCUAGAGGUAGGUAGGGGAGAUCGGAAUUCCUGGUGUAGCGGUGAAAUGCGCAGAUAUCGGGAGGAACACCGAUGGCGAAGGCAGCCCCCUGGGCUGACACUGACGCUCAGGCACGAAAGCGUGGGGAGCAAACAGG